RNAcentral lists this ribosomal RNA (578 nucleotides) under uncultured Botrytis. Its description in RNAcentral is "eukaryotic LSU rRNA". The stretch from base 216 to 369 matches the Rfam family "5.8S ribosomal RNA". The record is from RNAcentral. Lineage: Eukaryota; Fungi; Ascomycota; Leotiomycetes; Helotiales; Sclerotiniaceae.
CUUGGUCAUUUAGAGGAAGUAAAAGUCGUAACAAGGUUUCCGUAGGUGAACCUGCGGAAGGAUCAUUACAGAGUUCAUGCCCGAAAGGGUAGACCUCCCACCCUUGUGUAUUAUUACUUUGUUGCUUUGGCGAGCUGCCUUCGGGCCUUGUAUGCUCGCCAGAGAAAACCAAAACUCUUUUUAUUAAUGUCGUCUGAGUACUAUAUAAUAGUUAAAACUUUCAACAACGGAUCUCUUGGUUCUGGCAUCGAUGAAGAACGCAGCGAAAUGCGAUAAGUAAUGUGAAUUGCAGAAUUCAGUGAAUCAUCGAAUCUUUGAACGCACAUUGCGCCCCGUGGUAUUCCGCGGGGCAUGCCUGUUCGAGCGUCAUUUCAACCAAUCAAGCCUCGGCUUGGUCUUGGGGUUUGCGGUCCCGCAUCUCCUAAACUUAGUGGCGGUGCGAUUAAGCUCUGAGCGUAGUAAUUCUUCUCGCUAUAGGGUCUUGGUCGUUACUUGCCAGUAACCCCCAAUUUUUAUCAGGUUGACCUCGGAUCAGGUAGGGAUACCCGCUGAACUUAAGCAUAUCAAUAAGCGGAGGA